Molecule: long non-coding RNA, 552 nt
Filed under: Helianthus annuus (common sunflower)
Lineage: Eukaryota; Viridiplantae; Streptophyta; Magnoliopsida; Asterales; Asteraceae
Source: RNAcentral
UUAAAAUUGAAACUUAUAUUAUUAGUUUUAAUUAAAAACAAAACCAAACACCCCCAUUUGGAUGUCUGGUCGAUCAAGAACAGGAGAGGGCGACCUCCCUCAUCCUCAAAACCCUAAAAUUCACUAAACCCACAAAUUGAAGGCUCAAUCCAAGUUGAAAUCAAAAUCUGAACAUGGAAUCGUGAUCACCUCGUCAAAAGGAGUCAUAAGUUUGACGCUAAACGAGCUAGGUGGAAGCUUGAGGACGAAGCGGGUCAAACAAAUCAAUAAGGAAAAGUAAGGCAUAGUUUGGAUGCGAGGAUAAACCGGCCUAUGAAUUAGCGAUGCUAUGAAUUAGCGAUUAUUGAGACAAGGUAUUAAAACGGGUCAAUAUGUUGAUCCGAACCAGGAUAAACCGGCCUAUGAAUUAGCGAUGCUAUGAAUUAGCGAUUAUUGAGACAAGGUAUUAAAACGGGUCAAUAUGUUGAUCCGAACCAGGUUAAUGUUAUAUGCUUCCGCAUGAAGAUCAAGCCACGAGCAAGAACCGAACACACCUCUCAAUGAAGCUUCCGC